RNAcentral lists this ribosomal RNA (573 nucleotides) under Fusicladium caryigenum. RNAcentral's name for it is "LSU rRNA". It matches the Rfam family "Eukaryotic large subunit ribosomal RNA", at positions 63 to 650 of the family's 3401-position model. Lineage: Eukaryota; Fungi; Ascomycota; Dothideomycetes; Venturiales; Sympoventuriaceae. The record is from RNAcentral.
AACCAACAGGGAUUGCCUCAGUAACGGCGAGUGAAGCGGCAACAGCUCAAAUUUGAAAUCUGGCGCAAGCCCGAGUUGUAAUUUGCAGAGGAUGUUUCGGGUGAAGCCCGCGGUCCAAGUCCCUUGGAACAGGACGUCAUAGAGGGUGAGAACCCCGUACCUGGCCCGCCGGUGCCCCCCGCUGUGAAACUCCUUCGACGAAGUCGAGUUGUUUGGGAAUGCAGCUCUAAAUUGGUGGUAAAUUCCAUCUAAAGCUAAAUACCGGCCAGAGACCGAUAGCGCACAAGUAGAGUGAUCGAAAGAUGAAAAGCACUUUGAAAAGAGAGUUAAAAAGUACGUGAAAUUGUUGAAAGGGAAGCGCUUGCGGCCAGACUUGCCCGCGGUGGCUCAGCCCGCCCUUUGGCGGGUGUACUCCUCCGCGGUCAGGCCAGCAUCGGUUUGGGCGGCCGGACAAAGGCGCCGGGAACGUAGCCUCCCCUCGGGGAGGUGUUAUAGCCCGGCGCGCAAUGCGGCCAGCCCGGACCGAGGUUCGCGCUCUGCUAGGAUGCUGGCGUAAUGGCCCGUAAGCGGCCC